This 2918-nucleotide ribosomal RNA is filed under the name Shigella flexneri. RNAcentral's name for it is "23S ribosomal RNA". It matches the Rfam family "Bacterial large subunit ribosomal RNA". The record is from RNAcentral. Lineage: Bacteria; Pseudomonadati; Pseudomonadota; Gammaproteobacteria; Enterobacterales; Enterobacteriaceae.
GAGGUUAAGCGACCAAGCGUACACGGUGGAUGCCCUGGCAGUCAGAGGCGAUGAAGGACGUGCUAAUCUGCGAUAAGCGUCGGUAAGGUGAUAUGAACCGUUAUAACCGGCGAUUUCCGAAUGGGGAAACCCAGUGUGAUUCGUCACACUAUCAUUAACUGAAUCCAUAGGUUAAUGAGGCGAACCGGGGGAACUGAAACAUCUAAGUACCCCGAGGAAAAGAAAUCAACCGAGAUUCCCCCAGUAGCGGCGAGCGAACGGGGAGCAGCCCAGAGCCUGAAUCAGUGUGUGUGUUAGUGGAAGCGUCUGGAAAGGCGUGCGAUACAGGGUGACAGCCCCGUACACAAAAAUGCACAUACUGUGAGCUCGAUGAGUAGGGCGGGACACGUGGUAUCCUGUCUGAAUAUGGGGGGACCAUCCUCCAAGGCUAAAUACUCCUGACUGACCGAUAGUGAACCAGUACCGUGAGGGAAAGGCGAAAAGAACCCCGGCGAGGGGAGUGAAAAAGAACCUGAAACCGUGUACGUACAAGCAGUGGGAGCACGCUUAGGCGUGUGACUGCGUACCUUUUGUAUAAUGGGUCAGCGACUUAUAUUCUGUAGCAAGGUUAACCGAAUAGGGGAGCCGAAGGGAAACCGAGUCUUAACUGGGCGUUAAGUUGCAGGGUAUAGACCCGAAACCCGGUGAUCUAGCCAUGGGCAGGUUGAAGGUUGGGUAACACUAACUGGAGGACCGAACCGACUAAUGUUGAAAAAUUAGCGGAUGACUUGUGGCUGGGGGUGAAAGGCCAAUCAAACCGGGAGAUAGCUGGUUCUCCCCGAAAGCUAUUUAGGUAGCGCCUCGUGAAUUCAUCUCCGGGGGUAGAGCACUGUUUCGGCAAGGGGGUCAUCCCGACUUACCAACCCGAUGCAAACUGCGAAUACCGGAGAAUGUUAUCACGGGAGACACACGGCGGGUGCUAACGUCCGUCGUGAAGAGGGAAACAACCCAGACCGCCAGCUAAGGUCCCAAAGUCAUGGUUAAGUGGGAAACGAUGUGGGAAGGCCCAGACAGCCAGGAUGUUGGCUUAGAAGCAGCCAUCAUUUAAAGAAAGCGUAAUAGCUCACUGGUCGAGUCGGCCUGCGCGGAAGAUGUAACGGGGCUAAACCAUGCACCGAAGCUGCGGCAGCGACGCUUAUGCGUUGUUGGGUAGGGGAGCGUUCUGUAAGCCUGUGAAGGUGUGCUGUGAGGUAUGCUGGAGGUAUCAGAAGUGCGAAUGCUGACAUAAGUAACGAUAAAGCGGGUGAAAAGCCCGCUCGCCGGAAGACCAAGGGUUCCUGUCCAACGUUAAUCGGGGCAGGGUGAGUCGACCCCUAAGGCGAGGCCGAAAGGCGUAGUCGAUGGGAAACAGGUUAAUAUUCCUGUACUUGGUGUUACUGCGAAGGGGGGACGGAGAAGGCUAUGUUGGCCGGGCGACGGUUGUCCCGGUUUAAGCGUGUAGGCUGGUUUUCCAGGCAAAUCCGGAAAAUCAAGGCCGAGGCGUGAUGACGAGGCACUACGGUGCUGAAGCAACAAAUGCCCUGCUUCCAGGAAAAGCCUCUAAGCAUCAGGUAACAUCAAAUCGUACCCCAAACCGACACAGGUGGUCAGGUAGAGAAUACCAAGGCGCUUGAGAGAACUCGGGUGAAGGAACUAGGCAAAAUGGUGCCGUAACUUCGGGAGAAGGCACGCUGAUACGUAGGUGAAGCGACUUGCUCGUGGAGCUGAAAUCAGUCGAAGAUACCAGCUGGCUGCAACUGUUUAUUAAAAACACAGCACUGUGCAAACACGAAAGUGGACGUAUACGGUGUGACGCCUGCCCGGUGCCGGAAGGUUAAUUGAUGGGGUUAGCGCAAGCGAAGCUCUUGAUCGAAGCCCCGGUAAACGGCGGCCGUAACUAUAACGGUCCUAAGGUAGCGAAAUUCCUUGUCGGGUAAGUUCCGACCUGCACGAAUGGCGUAAUGAUGGCCAGGCUGUCUCCACCCGAGACUCAGUGAAAUUGAACUCGCUGUGAAGAUGCAGUGUACCCGCGGCAAGACGGAAAGACCCCGUGAACCUUUACUAUAGCUUGACACUGAACAUUGAGCCUUGAUGUGUAGGAUAGGUGGGAGGCUUUGAAGUGUGGACGCCAGUCUGCAUGGAGCCGACCUUGAAAUACCACCCUUUAAUGUUUGAUGUUCUAACGUGGACCCGUGAUCCGGGUUGCGGACAGUGUCUGGUGGGUAGUUUGACUGGGGCGGUCUCCUCCUAAAGAGUAACGGAGGAGCACGAAGGUUGGCUAAUCCUGGUCGGACAUCAGGAGGUUAGUGCAAUGGCAUAAGCCAGCUUGACUGCGAGCGUGACGGCGCGAGCAGGUGCGAAAGCAGGUCAUAGUGAUCCGGUGGUUCUGAAUGGAAGGGCCAUCGCUCAACGGAUAAAAGGUACUCCGGGGAUAACAGGCUGAUACCGCCCAAGAGUUCAUAUCGACGGCGGUGUUUGGCACCUCGAUGUCGGCUCAUCACAUCCUGGGGCUGAAGUAGGUCCCAAGGGUAUGGCUGUUCGCCAUUUAAAGUGGUACGCGAGCUGGGUUUAGAACGUCGUGAGACAGUUCGGUCCCUAUCUGCCGUGGGCGCUGGAGAACUGAGGGGGGCUGCUCCUAGUACGAGAGGACCGGAGUGGACGCAUCACUGGUGUUCGGGUUGUCAUGCCAAUGGCACUGCCCGGUAGCUAAAUGCGGAAGAGAUAAGUGCUGAAAGCAUCUAAGCACGAAACUUGCCCCGAGAUGAGUUCUCCCUGACCCUUUAAGGGUCCUGAAGGAACGUUGAAGACGACGACGUUGAUAGGCCGGGUGUGUAAGCGCAGCGAUGCGUUGAGCUAACCGGUACUAAUGAACCGUGAGGCUUAACCUUACAACGCCGAAG